UACGGAGGGUGCGAGCGUUGUCCGGAAUCACUGGGCGUAAAGGGCGCGUAGGUGGCCCGUUAAGUGGCUGGUGAAAUCCCGGGGCUCAACUCCGGGGCUGCCGGUCAGACUGGCGAGCUAGAGCACGGUAGGGGCAGAUGGAAUUCCCGGUGUAGCGGUGGAAUGCGUAGAGAUCGGGAAGAAUACCAGUGGCGAAGGCGUUCUGCUGGGCCGUUGCUGACACUGAGGCGCGACAGCGUGGGGAGCAAACAG
This 252-nucleotide ribosomal RNA is filed under the name uncultured prokaryote. RNAcentral's name for it is "partial 16S ribosomal RNA". It matches the Rfam family "Bacterial small subunit ribosomal RNA", at positions 524 to 775 of the family's 1533-position model. The record is from RNAcentral.